RNAcentral lists this ribosomal RNA (497 nucleotides) under uncultured bacterium. Its description in RNAcentral is "partial 16S ribosomal RNA". It matches the Rfam family "Bacterial small subunit ribosomal RNA", at positions 28 to 507 of the family's 1533-position model. The record is from RNAcentral.
GACGAACGCUGGCGGCGUGCCUAAUACAUGCAAGUUGAGCGAUGAAGAUUGGUGCUUGCACCAAUUUGAAGAGCAGCGAACGGGUGAGUAACGCGUGGGGAAUCUGCCUUUGAGCGGGAGACAACAUUUGGAAACGAAUGCUAAUACCGCAUAACAACUUUAAACAUAAGUUUUAAGUUUGAAAGAUGCAAUUGCAUCACUCAAAGAUGAUCCCGCGUUGUAUUAGCUAGUUGGUGAGGUAAAGGCUCACCAAGGCGAUGAUACAUAGCCGACCUGAGAGGGUGAUCGGCCACAUUGGGACUGAGACACGGCCCAAACUCCUACGGGAGGCAGCAGUAGGGAAUCUUCGGCAAUGGACGAAAGUCUGGCCGAGCAACGCCGCGUGAGUGAAGAAGGUUUUCGGAUCGUAAAACUCUGUUGGUAGAGAAGAACGUUGGUGAGAGUGGAAAGCUCAUCAAGUGACGGUAACUACCCAGAAAGGGACGGCUAACUACGUG